UUCCGGUUGAUCCUGCCGGACCCGACUGCUAUUUGGGUGAGAAUAAGCCAUGCGAGUUGAAUGGGAUACCUAAAGUUCCCAUAGCAAACUGCUCAGUAACACAUGAUCAACUUACCCUAUAGAGAAAAAUAACCUCGGGAAGCUGAGGAUAAUGUUUCAUAAUUGAAUUGGCUUGGAAAAGUUUUUCAAUGAAAGGGAUAAAAAAAAUGGUUUUUAUCUGCUAUAGGAUAGGAUCGUGUUCGAUUAUGGUUGUUGGUGAGAUAAUGGCUCACCAAGCCGAUAAUCGAUAGGGGCCGUGAGAGCGGGAGCCCCGAGAUGGGUACUGAGACAACGACCCAGGCCUUACGAGGCGCAGCAGGCGCGGAACCUCCGCAAUACACGAAAGUGUGACGGGGUUACCCAAAGUGUUCAAUAGAACUGUGGUAGGUGAGUAAUGUCCCCUACUAGAAAGGAGAGGGCAAGGCUGGUGCCAGCCGCCGCGGUAAAACCAGCUCUUCAAGUGGUCGGGAUAAUUAUUGGGCUUAAAGUGUCCGUAGCCGGUUUAGUAAGUUCCUGGUAAAAUCGGGUAGCUUAACUAUCUGCAUGCUAGGAAUACUGCUAUACUAGAGGGCGGGAGAGGUCUGAGGUACUACAGGGGUAGGGGUGAAAUCUUACAAUCCUUGUAGGACCACCAGUGGCGAAGGCGUCAGACUGGACGCGCCUGACGGUGAGGGACGAAAGCCAGGGGAGCGAAACGGAUUAGAUACCCGGGUAGUCUUGCCCGUAAACGAUGCAUACUAUGUGAUGGUACGGCCAUGAGCCGUAUCAUUGCCGUAGGGAAACCGUUAAGUGUGCCCACUGGGAAAUACGGUCGCAAGCUA
Molecule: ribosomal RNA, 860 nt
Filed under: uncultured archaeon
Lineage: Archaea
Description: bacterial SSU rRNA
Rfam family: Archaeal small subunit ribosomal RNA
Source: RNAcentral